UAGGCUGAUGGCCCACUCACCUUUUUAGCUGGGCUCCUGACCUGUCCGGCCAGAAAGUUGCCACUGGGGAACCUGGACCCCUACUGAAUGGAUCUGCUGGCACCUAGACCUCAGAGAAGGGGGAACUGAAGACUGAAGUCUGACCACUGUUCUUUGUUGAAAAUUUCUUUCUCAGGGGCUUGGAGGGAUCACAUCUACAAUCCUGAGCUAAUAUUCUCUUCUGCUGUCCCCAAAAUUUAAACGAAGCUUCUCUUAACCCAUUGCAAAUGAGAAAAAUCUUUGAAUCUACCUAUGACUAUAAGCCCUUAUUUCAAGAUAUCCUGCCUUUUUAGGCCAGAACCAAAGUGUAACCUCCAUCUAUUGAUUUACAAUUUUGCCUGUAACUUUGGCUUUCCUGAAAUUUACCCCAGCCUUAAAAAAAAAAAAGAACAGAAAAAGAAAACUGCAAGGCAUCAGGGAGGUCAGAAUUUGGGCAUGAGCUGCCUGAUCCUCCUUGCUUUGCAUCUUUGCAAAUAGAUGCCUUCAGCUGUGCAUGAUGGCUCACACCUCUCAUCCCAGCACUUUGGGAGGGCAAGGCGGGAGGAUUGCUCCAUCCCAGGAGUUCGAGAUCAGGGGCAAAAUGCCGAAACCCUGUCUCUACAAAAAAUUAAAAAAUUAGCUGGGCAUGAUGGUGCACUUCUGUAGUCCCAGCUACUUGGGAGGCUGAGGCAGGGGGAUUGCUUGAGCCCAAGAGGUUGAGGCUACAUGAGCCAUCAUCGUGCCACUGCACUCCAGCCUGGGAAACAGAAUGAGACCCUGUCUCAAAACAAAACAUUUGAAAAAUAACAAGUUCAGGUGCAGUGGCUCAUACCUGUAAUCCCAGCACUUUGGGAGGCCAAAGUGGUCGGAUCACUUGAGGCCAGGAGUUCAUGACCAGCCUGGCCAACAUGGCAAAACCCCAUCUCUACUAAAAAUACAAAAAUUAGCUGGGUGUGGUGGCUGGCAACUCUAGUCCCAGCUACUCCGGAGGCUGAGGCAGGAAAAUCACUUGAACCCAGGAGGCGGAGGUUGAAGUGAGCCGAGAUCACACCACUGCACUCCAGCCUGGGCAACAGAGCAAGACUCUGUCUCCAAAAAUAACAAAAAAUAAAUACAUGCCUUCCUUUCUACUGCUGCACAACCUCACUGUGUCAGGCAGGAGGCAUCUCUGGAUCCAGCUGGUUUUUGUUUUGCUGAGGCUCAGCUUCUUCCUGGAACUUUUUGAAACAACACUCAAGGGUCUCAAGUGGGUAUUUUUUCAUGUUGUAUACCCAAAAACCUGAAAACCCAGGGCCCUGGGUUACAGUAUUUCCACGUCGUAUACCCAAAAACCUGAAAACCUGGGGACCCUGGGUUCCAGUAUUUCCUGGCGAUCUUACCCACUACCACCAUCUAGUCAAUUUGAACCACCUCCUCAACCACCUAUGAGGGCCUAAACACUCUUUCACUCCCUUUCCUGCCAGUGGCUGACAUGAUGGUCUGUGACCUGAAAGUUGUUGAAUAGUUGGAGUGUUCUGCAUUCAUGUGGAAGAGGCUAAAGGAUGUUUGAUGAAGCACUAUGGGCUGCCCUGGAAGAGGACUGAAGAAGCAGCUGCAGGAAAGAAACGUCCACUCUGCUCCAGUCAACCCCACUGCUGGUGUCCUCUGCACUGCCUUGCACUCCCUGAAGAGAGCCUGGGCAACAGAGCGAGACUCCAUCUCAGAAUGAAUGCUUCAAGACCACAGUGCUCUCCUGCCUUGGAAACACCUUCGCCUUCCUCCGCUUCUCUUUGGCUACCAUGGUCACCCUCCACACUGCUUUCCUCAACUCUCGGGCAGGCUGGUCUCAAACUCCUGACCUCAUGUGGUCCUCCUGCCUCAACCUCCCAAAGUGCUGGGAUUAUAGGCAUGAGCCACUGCAUCUGGCCCGAUUCUUUAUAUUUGUAAAAAGCGUACUGUACUUCAAUAUAUUCAAAAUUAGACUAUUAUUUAGAAGUAUAUCAAUUUGCAGCCAGGGCAGUGGCUCACGCCUGUCCUUUACACAUAUAAGAUGGUAAUACACGGCCGGGCACAGUGGCUUGUGCCUGUAAUCCCAGAACUUUGGAAGGCCGAGGUGGGUGGAUCACCUGAGGUCAGGAGUUCGAGACCAGACUGGCCAACAUGGAGAAACCCCGUCUCUACUAAAAAUACAAAAAUUAGCCAGGUGUGGUGGUGGGCUCCUGUAAUCCCAGCUACUUGGGAGGCUGAGGCAGGAGAAUCCCUUGAACCUGCGAGGUAGAGGUUGUAGUGAGCCGAAAUUGCACCAUUGCACUCUAGCCUGGGCAACAAGAGCG
This 2330-nucleotide long non-coding RNA is filed under the name Homo sapiens (human). RNAcentral describes it as "HSALNT0146443". The record is from RNAcentral. Lineage: Eukaryota; Metazoa; Chordata; Mammalia; Primates; Hominidae.